UACGAAGGGUGCAAACGUUGCUCGGAAUUAUUGGGCGUAAAGCGCACGUAGGCGGUUUGUUAAGUCGGAUGUGAAAUCCCUCGGCUCAACUGAGGAAGUGCAUCCGAAACUGGCAGGCUUGAGUACUAAAGAGGGUCGCGGAAUUCCCGGUGUAGAGGUGAAAUUCGUAGAUAUUGGGAAGAACACCGGUGGCGAAGGCGGCUAUCUGGACCGACAUUGACGCUGAUGCGCGAAAGCGUGGGGAGCAAACAGG
RNAcentral lists this ribosomal RNA (253 nucleotides) under uncultured bacterium. RNAcentral describes it as "partial 16S ribosomal RNA". It matches the Rfam family "Bacterial small subunit ribosomal RNA", at positions 524 to 776 of the family's 1533-position model. The record is from RNAcentral.